AUCGCACCCGCCUCGAACACGUCGCGCGGCUGGUCUACGACCAGAACGAGAAGGCCGGGCUGUAACCGGUAAAUAACCUUCAAAAGAAGCCGUCAUUGCGAGGAGCACUCGCGACGAAGCAAUCCGAUUGCUUCGUCGUCAUUCCGGGGCGCGCGUCCUCGCGCGAACCCGGAAUCCAGGCCAACCAUCAGAUUUCUCGAAUUCUGGAUUCCGGGUCUGCGCCAAGCGGCGCAUCCCGGAAUGAC
RNAcentral lists this unclassified non-coding RNA (245 nucleotides) under Hevea brasiliensis (rubber tree). Lineage: Eukaryota; Viridiplantae; Streptophyta; Magnoliopsida; Malpighiales; Euphorbiaceae. The record is from RNAcentral.